Non-coding RNA from Salmo salar (Atlantic salmon), 54 nucleotides. The record is from Rfam. Lineage: Eukaryota; Metazoa; Chordata; Actinopteri; Salmoniformes; Salmonidae.
AAUGCACCAAUUUGUAAGUCGCUCUGGAUAAGACCAUCUGCUAAAUGACUUAAA